AGCUGAGUUUGGAUAGAAGUGGGAGGGCUUGGCCAGAAGCUCCACUGAUCUUUGUCUGGCAAAGACAAGGCAGUUAGAGGAAUCUUACUGCUCCCAGGCACUCUGACUGCAGCCUCUACUGGGGCUAUGGUGCUGGUGAAGGUCUAUUUCCAGGUUCAAGGAUUGUAGAGGUUGAGAGUUUGGAGUUACCUCUGCAAAGUAUCUGGGUCUCCUAGUACAGCCGCCACCCAUGGAAUUUCCGGUGCAUCAACAUCAGCUUGGGGACCACAUCCUUAUCAAAAGGUGGAAAGAGGAAAAACUUGAGCUGACCUGGGAAGGGCCUUACCUGGUACUUAUAACCACUGAAACCACAGUCCGGACAGCAGGAAAAGGAUGGACCCCAUCACACCCAAGUCAAGAAAGCACCACCACCUCAGGAGUCAUGGGCCAUUAUCCCAGGGGAAUACUCCCUCAAACUAAAGCUAAAAAAGUUUAACACUCUUCCAUCUAUUCUAUUACUCUUUCUUCUUUGCCCAUUCUAUUGCUGACCACCUUGUUAUUAAUGUAACUAAAUCAAACUCACCCCAAGUUA
This is a non-coding RNA of Macaca mulatta (Rhesus monkey), 571 nucleotides long. NCBI's taxonomy places the organism in Eukaryota, Metazoa, Chordata, Mammalia, Primates, Cercopithecidae. The record is from RefSeq and is a predicted model, not a curated record.